This 1089-nucleotide long non-coding RNA is filed under the name Gossypium raimondii (Peruvian cotton). RNAcentral describes it as "long non-coding RNA (GRAI_LNC010381)". The record is from RNAcentral. Lineage: Eukaryota; Viridiplantae; Streptophyta; Magnoliopsida; Malvales; Malvaceae.
GAGGCUGUCACAGUGAAAAAAGAGAAGGCUUUGGAGGCUGUUUUGUGAGGAGAAAGCUAAAGAGGAAGGCAAGGAAACCUGAAAUGGAAUCAAUUGAAGAAGUAGGCUUAUUAUUGGUAUUGCAUCCUAAUUCUCUUAUUUCAUCUUAUGGGGUAAGCAACUUUAGUUCUUUGUGCUACUUUUGGCAGGUGGUUUAUAUCAUUGGCUUCCUCUGGCAUUGGGAGCUGGUAAGCUGUAUGUGGUAACUGGUAAGUGACUUUUAUAGUCAAUUGCAAUAUGCUUGUAUUUGUAAUAUAAACUAAACAGAGUUGGUCCACUAACCAUAAAGUUGAAAUGUGAAAUCCUAAUUUAAGAACUGAGGAGAAAUUUGAAUGAUGUGUUCCAUGAUGGUAGCAUGAACAGUUUUAGUUUAUAACUUUCUACAACAAUCAGAUUGAAUAUUACAAUAUUAAUACUUCCAUACCUAAUGGUUUGUCUGGUUGUUCAAUAUUACAAUAACUGUUCCAGGGCAUAUAUUUUUGCUUAAUAGUCAGGAAAAAAGUUGACUCUGAUACUGAUUUCUAUGCGUUGGUUAAUUCUUCUUACUGCCAUCUUUCAAUUGCAAACUCUUCAUGUGUGGUAUAUCUCUUCCAUGCGCAAACCGGUUUCUGGAUAUUAAAUUCAUGUAGGCUUAUGAACUUGUAUGAAUGUAUGUAUAUGCAUUCCAUGUAGAUGAGAAUCCUUGUUUAGAGCUCUCACAUAUUAUCAGGUUUAUGCACUGAUAACUGACAGGUUUCUCUAUCCCAAUUGCAGUGUCUGCUAUCAUGCAAUUAUAUUUGUUGUUUGGGGGAAAGGGAGAUUGAAAUUGCUGUGACCAGCCCUAUCUCUAAUUUCUUAAAAGCCACUUUUUAUAGUAUGCAGCCUUGGUCCUUUGAAGAUGAAGCCUUGAGGAAAAAACGAAAGCAUAGGCCGAACCGAUCAUUGUAUAAACAAAGUCCCAACAAAAAUAUUUAAUAAAUUCAAGAAAUGCUAUACUUAAUCUCAGGUUAAAUAUGGGAGAUAAACCCUGUUUUUAUUUCAUCAUUUUAUCUUAAAAAAUGACUGCUUCUC